Long non-coding RNA from Mytilus californianus (California mussel), 439 nucleotides. RefSeq lists it as uncharacterized. The transcript is spliced from 4 exons. The record is from RefSeq and is a predicted model, not a curated record. NCBI's taxonomy places the organism in Eukaryota, Metazoa, Mollusca, Bivalvia, Mytilida, Mytilidae.
AGAACUUGAAAAAAUUGUUAGCCAAUUACCAAUGCGUAUGAUGAAGUUGGAAAUAUCUCGAAUUUUUAUACAGAAAUGGAGCAGCUGUUCCUCGAGAUUAGAAAAAGACCAAAGACUUUGGAUACCAGGUUUAUUAAGAUAAAAGGGAGAGUACCAACUAAAAAGGAUCUUGAUCAGGUAGAAGAUGACGUAAAAUAUGUAAGGGACAGUUGGACCAACCAGUUCUCAACAUUCGCCUUACUUGAUGUGGAUCUGGACGGAAUCGGAUAUGAUGGAGAUUUGAGGGGCCAAUUUGCAGGUAUCAAAGACGACUUUGAUGCAGAAGUGAGUGCAAUAGAACGGUCAAUGAAUGGAGAUAUACUGUUAUUGAGUGAUAAUACCAGGGACGUUCAGAUGUUGGAAAAGUAUUUUGGGCAAUGAAAAGGAAGUAAAGACACAG